Molecule: ribosomal RNA, 253 nt
Filed under: uncultured bacterium
Lineage: Bacteria
Description: partial 16S ribosomal RNA
Rfam family: Bacterial small subunit ribosomal RNA
Source: RNAcentral
UACGUAGGGUGCGAGCGUUAAUCGGAAUUACUGGGCGUAAAGCGUGCGCAGGCGGUUCGUUAAGUCAGAUGUGAAAGCCCCGGGCUCAACCUGGGAACUGCAUUUGAAACUGGCGGGCUUGAGUGUGGCAGAGGGGGGUGGAAUUCCGCGUGUAGCAGUGAAAUGCGUAGAGAUGCGGAGGAACACCGAUGGCGAAGGCAGCCCCCUGGGCCAACACUGACGCUCAGGCACGACAGCGUGGGGAGCAAACAGG